GAUGAACGCUGGCGGCGUGCCUAAUACAUGCAAGUCGAGCGAACAGAUAAGGAGCUUGCUCCUUUGACGUUAGCGGCGGACGGGUGAGUAACACGUGGGUAACCUAUCUAUAAGACUGGAAUAACUCCGGGAAACCGGGGCUAAUGCCGGAUAACAUGUUGAACCGCAUGGUUCUACAGUGAAAGGCGGCUUUGCUGUCACUUAUAGAUGGGCCCGCGCCGUAUUAGCUAGUUGGUGAGGUAACGGCUCACCAAGGCAACGAUACGUAGCCGACCUGAGAGGGUGAUCGGCCACACUGGAACUGAGACACGGUCCAGACUCCUACGGGAGGCAGCAGUAGGGAAUCUUCCGCAAUGGGCGAAAGCCUGACGGAGCAACGCCGCGUGAGUGAUGAAGGUCUUCGGAUCGUAAAACUCUGUUAUUAGGGAAGAACAAAUGCGUAAGUAACUGUGCGCGUCUUGACGGUACCGAAGCAGAAAGCCACGGCUAACUACGU
RNAcentral lists this ribosomal RNA (496 nucleotides) under uncultured bacterium. Its description in RNAcentral is "partial 16S ribosomal RNA". It matches the Rfam family "Bacterial small subunit ribosomal RNA", at positions 28 to 506 of the family's 1533-position model. The record is from RNAcentral.